CCUUGCAAGGCAAAAAAGAGAGCGUUUAUUUUCUGACUCCAACUUUUAUACUUCUCCAAAGGUGACAGUGGAUUGGAGAGUGAACGGGCCACCUCUCCGAAGACAUUGGACAAAGCACUAGUACAUCAAGUCUCUCCACCCCCAUGGAGGAAUGCAAAACAAUACGUUAUUUACAGAAACUGUGUGGGAAAGUUUCCCAAUAGAAUGUAAAUUCAGAAGGCUUAAGAAAACUCAAGAAUCAGGGCGACAUCUCACCCUUUUUAGUUUAAAAGAAAAGGAAAAAUGAAUAAGGUUCAGUGUCUGUUCGUGGAGGAAUCAUCAGAGUGAUCACCCACCGUCAUCUUCAACUGAGUCAUCACUCGAUGAUCCAUCCAUUUGAUGACUUUCAGUUUGGUCACGGCUUCUAUGUUGCCCGUUUGUCGGAUUCUGUCUCUGCGGUUGCAGAUCAGGACGAACACACCUUGAAGGUACCCAGUGUACCCCAGUAUCUGUGGAUACACAAGCAUACCCGCGCCCCGAAGCGAUAAGGUCAUAGGGACCUUCCCAUUGUUUAGUGACUAAAUUCCGCACUCGAACUUUUGCUCGAGGCUGAUGUGCCUCGUCUGCAGCUUGCAAUGAGAGAUGAUGAUUUAAAAUGACAGGGUUAUUUGAAUUCUGCUGCACUGUAAGAUGAUUGAUGGUGUACAAUGCUUUCUCCAACCGACUGUGCGGGGUCUCACCCUGCAUUCCCCGUUUUUGUUUUUGAAGAACCCGCUUCAGAGUACCAUGAGCGCGUUCUACAAUAGCUUGGCCGGUUGGAGAAUGGGGAAUACCAAACUUGUGUGACACACCCCACAACUGCAGGAACUGCCGCACCUGCUGCGAUGCAUAAGCAGGACCAUUGUCGGUUUUCACAGCAGAAGGUAUGCCCAGAACGGCAAAGGCCUGCCUCCAGUGGGCAAUGACAUCAUGAGCCUUUUCUCCAGUGUGAGCGGAAGCCCACAUCGCAGAGGAGAACGUGUCCACCGUGACAUGCACAUACUUGAGCCGGCCAAACUCGGCAAUCUGGGUGACAUCAGUCUGCCAAAGCUCCAAGGCCCUAAGGCCUCUAGGGUUUACCCCUGCUGGUAAAGGCGGAGCAAGUGCAUGGCAGUCGUCACAGGACUCAACAAUGCUACGAGCCUCUGUUGGCGUUAGCUGAAACUGCUUCUGCAGAGUAUGUGCAUUCUGAUGGAAAAACCCAUGUGAUGCCUUGGCCUGUGCGAGUGUAUCAGGCUGGGGUGCUACCCACGCCGGAUUAGCCAACUUGUCAGCCCUCGCGUUACCUUCUGCUACAAACCCUGGUAAAUUGGUGUGACUUCUCACAUGCAGAAUGUAAAACGGAUGAACCCGGGCCUGAAUAGCACACCACAAGGUCUUCAGUAAAUGAAACAAGGCAGGGUUACUGACCUCCUUCAAAACUGAGUGACCCAACCGCUGUGCGAUAUCAGCCACAUAGGCAGAAUCCGUGACCAAAUUGAAAGGUUCCUGGGAAAAUCUCUCAAAUGCCAUAACAGCGGCCCUCAACUCAACCACUUGGGCCGACCCAUCCUGAUGACCUUUCAGAACCUUCCACUCAGAUCCGUCCUUCCAAGUAACAAUGGCCUUUCCUGUUUUCCCCGAACCGUCAGUAAAGACGGUGGGUCCUUGCACAGGUUCCUGACUAUUUUUGGGCCGCAAAGAGAUCUGCAUAGAUUUUGCCACCUGCAGUAGCUUGUGGCUGGGCAAAUGAUAAGUGAUCUGCCCUGAAAAGUUUUCUAGAGCACAUUGCAGGGACACACAGUGUGCAAAGCUCCAGUCAAAGUCCUCCCGGGAUAUCGGGAGUAUGAUCUUUGCAGGAUCCGCACCCAUCAAUUGCAAACACCGUUGCCGGCAUUUCAUUAUCAACCGAGCAAUCAACUCAGCCAAUGUCGUUGCCGUCUUCUGCGGCUGAUGGGGCAGGAAAACCCAUUCCAAGAUGUGCAAGGGAUCGGACCAUUUGUCACUCCAUUGACCAAUGAUACCUGUGGGAUGCGAAUCUGGAGUGGUAACGAACACAGCGACAUCAACGGAAAGAUCAAUGCGAUAAACCUGACGGGCAGAAACAGCCUGCUGAACCUCCUCCAGCACCUGACGUGCCUCAGGGGUCAAUGUGCGAGGUGAUUUUAAAUCAGAGUCUCCUUUCAACAGAUCAUACACAGGAGACAGUUGUGCAUCGGUUAGUCCCAAGUAUGGACGUAACCAGGUGAUGACACCCAUCAGUUUUUGAACAUCAUUCAGUGUCUUGACCGAGUGUGCAAAUUGCACCUCCUGGUGUUGGAUUGUCCGUUCCAGAAUUUUGACCCCCAAAUACUUCCAAGGAGGUUGCUGUUGAACCUUUUCUGGAGCCACCUGCAGCCCAUGAGCAUGCAAAGCAUCGAGCAACCGAGGCUGAAUCCUCAGCAGCUCAUCCUGAGUGGACGCAGCCACCAAGAUGUCGUCCAUAUAAUGAUACAGACGUGCAUCAGGAAACUGCUUGCGAACUCCAGACAAGGCACGGGCCACAUACCAUUGGCAUAUGACCGGGGAAUUGCGCAUCCCCUGUGGCAGAACUUUCCAUUGAUAUCGCUGUGCAGGCUCAUCAUUGUCAAUUGCUGGCACCGUGAAGGCAAAUUUCGGUCUGUCAUCGGGAUGCAAAGGAAUUGUAAAGAAACAAUCCUUCAAAUCCACGAUGAAGAUCGGCCAGCCUGCAGGAAGCAUGGCAGGCGAUGGCAUGCCCGCCUGCAAUGUUCCCAUGCCUUCCAUGACCGCAUUGACCUUCCGGAGGUCCUGUAACAACCUCCAUUUCCCAGACUUCUUUUUGAUGCAGAAAACAGGGGUGUUCCAGGGACUGUUAGAAGGCUCCAGACGACCCUGGUCCAGCUGCUCCUGCACCAAUUUCCGAAGGGCGAUCAGUUUAUCUUGAGGGAGGGGCCACUGGUUUUCCCAAACAGGUGUAUCCACCAGCCACCGUAUAGGAGGCGUAGGACACUCUGCGCCCUUCGCUGCAGUGGCCCCCAUCAAAAACCCGUCCCAAUGCGCACCCCCCACGCAGAUAGAACAUCCCUCCCCCAGAGGUUAGCAGGAGAAGAAGUAACAUAAGGCCUAAUCCAGGCCGUCUGUCCCUCUGGGUUUGUGACCAGCACAGGCCGUUGGCUCACAUAACACCGUGCUGUUCCCCCCAGGCCCGCAACAGACGUCUCCGCUGGAUCCAGGGGCCAUUCCGGAGGCCAGGCGGCAAGGGAGAGAACCGUGACAUCAGCGCCGCUGUCAAGGAGCCCGCGCAGGCGGAUCUCUGACGGUGUUGCAUCAGGGAUGGAGAGGGUACACAGCAUCUCGGGACGGUCUUUGGUCAGGACAGCAGUCCAGUGAACUUGAGGCGGCCCAGUGGAUCCAAAACCGCCAUCGCCUCGCAACCGGUCAGUCGUCCUGCGAACAGAAGACUUAAAAGGCACAAGUUGAGCAAGCCGUGUCCCUUUUGGGAUCGUAACAGGGGGUGUGGGUGUGGAAACCAUUGCACAAAUCUGCCCUGUGAAGUCUGCAUCAAUGAGACCCAGGUGCACAAUGACGCCCUGAAGGGUGGCACUAGACCUCCCCAUGAGGAAGGCGCUCAUGCCUUCACCCAAGGGACCAAAGGCGUCCAGGGGAACCUUGUGCACCUUGCAAGAGUCUAACACGACUGUUGCUGCUGUGCAGACAUCCACACCUGCUGACCCGCGGGUGCUGGCGACAAGCUGGCCGAGCAGACCUCCAUGGGCUCUGGGGUCUGGAGAGGAACUUGUGUCUGAGCGCGCCCCCCCUUCGCGCUCCGCUUCCCGUUUCCCGGGCCCGGGAGUGCUUGGCCAUUAACAUGAACCGUCGCCUUGCAAACCUCUGCAGGAUGGCCUGGCCUUCCACACCGGCCACAAACAUACGAGGGAAAUUUUCCUUUCUGUGCUUUCUUCCCCCGUUUGGUGCUCGCCUGAGCAGCUCCCCGGGGCUGCUGCCAGCCCUGCGGUGCUGCCCAGACCGGCUGCGCAGCAGCAGCCCAAGCAUCCGCCUUCUGAACCGAGGGGCCUAGGUCUGCACAGGCCGCUGCCAUCUGUGAAAGUGUAGCCCCUUCAGGAAGAGCCUGUAUGAUUCUCUUGCAUUCUGCGUUGCAGUGGAUCCUAGCAAAUCUCGCAAGGACCAUUCGCCUUAGCUCAGGUUCUACCACCUGCCGCUCCACCGAGGCAGUCAACCUCGAUGCAAAGUGCAUGAAUGACUCAUCGGCCCUUUGAACAACAGUCAGAAAGGGUUCCAUCGGGGCAGCCAUUUCUAAGGUCUGGAUCACAGCUGCUAAGCCUAACGUCCUGCACUGCUCAAGCACGAGAGGAUUGUAUCCCGCCUGCCCCUGAGGAUCAACAUAAUUACCUGUGCCCAUCAACAUGUCGGCGGUAGCUACACGUCUGGGAUCCUGCUGCCCCCGCGUAGCAUUCUUCCGUACUGCACUGGCCACUAAAGCGGCCCACUUGUCCUCAAACACGUCAAAUUGCACAGGGUCAAAAAGAGCCUGAGCCACAGAACGAAUAUCGAAAGGCGUCAGCAGGUUAGCAACAAGUAAUCGGAUCGUCUGCAUAACCUCAGCAGACCCAACACCAUACUGUGCAACGGUGUCUUGGAUUUCCUUCAACACCUUAAAUGAAAAAGGCUCAUGAGUGUUAUGAGUAACACCCCUAAGCACAGGGAAAGCCUGAGGACCCCCUGGUAAGGCUGCAUUAUCCACCGUAUCGUGUCCCGUAGCCUCCGGGACACUGGCAGCCCCUGGGCUGCGAGGCGGUGCAACAUCACCGGACACCACGCCCCCCGCAGCAUCAGCAGAGCCAGAGGAGCCUUCCCCUUGAUCCGGCAGGCUCCGCGAGGGGCCGAAGUCGCACAUCUCCUCAGCCUUAUCCAGGACCUCCUGCCAAAACCGCCCGUGGUCCUUCGGACGCACGGUCACCUGGCAGGCAGGGAGGGUCCACAAGGUCGACUGGGAGGAUCCGCGGCCACGGGGAGUCACCGGUCUCCCGCCGGCCGCGUCAGCAGUCGCGCUAAAGGUGAACACCCCAGCGCCCCGCUGUGCCGCAGUCCCGGCCCCCGCGGCAGGCGGGGAAGGCGGAACCGAACCAGCCGGUGCCCCAGCGGUGCUGUCUGCAGUAUCAGCAGAGGGCACCGCGGCGGGCGCAGGCGGAGGCGCAGACCGCAACCCCAGCGCAGCGCUCCCAUCCCCCGGGACGGGGGAAGGACGGGGCGAAGAGGGAGACGCGGCGCGCGGAGACACGUCACCGCGGGACGACACAAGGGAGUCUGGCACGCCCCCAAGAAGCGUCAGACCCGCGCCGCGCAGCCUCCCGGUGGGCACCGCCCCCAUCAGGCAGGACGGGGCAGGCUGCCCGCCUGCCGGGGCGGGGUCCGAUGGAACAGUGACCAAGGCCCCGCCUUUGGCAGCCCCCACCGCCUGCGCAUGCCCGGCAGGCCGCGCAGGCUCAGGGAUCGGAGCGGGUUCCUCCUCAGAAGAUGAACCCGAGACCGGACCGGGCGAAUGCGCCUGUGUCUUCUCCAGGGGAAAUGUAACACCACAGUUCGGGCAAUUCACCGUCACCGAGUCAGACGCAAUCCGAGGCGGGGGCUGAUCCACGGGCCCCCGUUCACCCCCGAGCGCCGGGAAGGCACAAAGAGAAAGUGCUUUCCCGCCCAGCCCACUACGCCUGCGACGCGGGGCAGGGCGAGGCGGCCGAAGCGGCCCCACCGACCGGAUGCCUGAAGCCAGUGGCCUGGGAGCCCGAACCACACCAGAGGAGGAGCCACCUUCCGGCUCACUCCCCCCGGGGCUAGGGGAAUCAGGGCAACUGUACAGAGACUCAGCCUCCCCAGCAUCCGCAUCCAAGACAGAUAGGUCCCCCAGAGAAGCCCGAGAACUGCCAACCUCAGACCCCUGCCAAAUGGCAUCCAACCUCUUAAACAGCAUCAUCAGCGGCCCAACAUCUUCAAAACGAUUAUCAAGCAGGGCAUCCAGGAGGCGAUCUCCCACGGGAGACCAAUUCUCCCAGGAAAGGGCCUCAGCAAGAUUGGGAAAGAAUCCCUGCUCCCUUGCCCAUAAAAACAGCCUCUCAAAAUCAUCCCAAUAAAAAGGAACGCGUUUCCGCUUUAGCACCUCCCUCCAAACGUCCAAAGCCACAGACUCCUCCCUAAUGCCCUCAAAGCUCUCCAUUACCAAAAAAAACAGCAAUAGACAACGCUCUAAACAAACAGAAAAACCUCACCAACAGUUCCCAGCCUAAGCUGCAAUACACUUCGGCGGUCACCAGAUGUCGCUAUAGGACACGAGAAAGCAAUGCGAGCCACUUGCUACCUUGCAAGGCAAAAA
This is a long non-coding RNA of Taeniopygia guttata (zebra finch), 6382 nucleotides long. Lineage: Eukaryota; Metazoa; Chordata; Aves; Passeriformes; Estrildidae. The record is from Ensembl.